This 977-nucleotide long non-coding RNA is filed under the name Calidris pugnax (ruff). Its description in RNAcentral is "lncRNA (ENSCPUG00000014835.1)". Lineage: Eukaryota; Metazoa; Chordata; Aves; Charadriiformes; Scolopacidae. The record is from RNAcentral.
GAAAGAGAUUACAGUCCAGUGGAUCUCAAAACAGUGGGAGAAAGAAAACCCCUGGGAGGAAGGGGUUCGUAUUGCUCAGGGCUUCGAGAAGGAUCCCUGCAGGCAGAGCAUGGGAAGCCAGUGCAUGACCAUGAAACGUUGAAUCUGCUGUCACCUCCAGUGAAUCUGCCCCACGGGGAAACUUGUGCAGGGGACAGCUCUGGAGACAGCAGUGAACAGACCAGCUCCAACAGCCAGGUAGCAUCAGUUCUUCUACCAGUGUGGGGGGUUUUUUUGGGGUGUGGUUGUUGGUUUGGUUUUCUUUGGUUUUUAGUCCUGAUGUUGAACUCAUCACCCACACAACACUUUGAUAAACAUGAUGCUCUGCUCUGUCCCCAGUGGAGUGAAGUUGGCCAGCACUAUGGAGGCUCCAGCACCUUCUGCUGCUUCAGCUUGGCCAUGGUGGAGCAGUGUCUGAGGGGAGAAGAGCUGCGAGCUCGACACCAGGCUGCCCUCCUCAAGCUCCGCAAAAAAGCUCUCCAGGAGAAAGCCAGGGCCGAGCUGGCCUGGCUGGACCACCAGAAACGGUGAGGGGGACAUGUUGUGGGCAGGACACCACAAGCCUGCUCUGACUGGGACAGGUCCUUCAGCAGGAGGUGGAGGUGCAGCUGCCUGCUCAAAGGAAGAAAACCUGUCCCUUCUCAGGAGAAGCAAAUAUAAAAUCCUUCUCUUUACAGAGUAAGCAGAAGGAGAGGAAUCUGCCCAGUUCUAUUUUCCCCAGAGCAUGGUCAAGCUCCCUAGUGCAGCCUCCUUCAGGUGUGGUGCGAGCCCCUCCUCAGUGCUGACUGGGCUGAGGUGCUGUUGAGGACAGAGUGAGCCCCCAGUGCAAGGUGUCCCUCGGUGCUGACUGGCCUGGGGCACCAUGAGGUUCAGUUUGAGCCCCCCCAGUGCAUGGCGUCCCUCACCAGCUGGUGCUGUGUACUGAGUGCUCAGGAAAG